RNAcentral lists this ribosomal RNA (269 nucleotides) under uncultured Planctomycetales bacterium. Its description in RNAcentral is "partial 16S ribosomal RNA". It matches the Rfam family "Bacterial small subunit ribosomal RNA", at positions 565 to 832 of the family's 1533-position model. The record is from RNAcentral. Lineage: Bacteria; Pseudomonadati; Planctomycetota; Planctomycetia; Planctomycetales.
GAGCACGUAGGUGGGUUUGUAAGUCAGAUGUGAAAGCCUCCUGUUCAACGGAAGAAUUGCAUCUGAAACUGCGAGUCUUGAGUGUAGGAGGGGAGAAUGGAACUUCUGGUGGAGCGGUGAAAUGCGUAGAUAUCAGAAGGAACUCCGGCGGCGAAAGCGAUUCUCUGGCCUAUUACUGACACUCAGUGUGCGAAAGCUAGGGGAGCAAACGUGAUUAGGUACCCCGGUAGUCCUAGCCGUAAACGAUGGGCACUAAGUAGAGGGGUUUU